GAUGAACGCUGGCGGCGUGCCUAACACAUGCAAGUCGAACGGAGUCCAGCCUUUAAGACCUUCGGGUCAAAGAGGGGAAGACUGAGUGGCGGACGGGUGAGUAACACGUGGGCAACCUGGCUCAUAGAGGGGGAUAACAGAGAGAAAUUUCUGCUAAUACCGCAUAAGCACACACUGCCGCAUGGCAGAGGGUGAAAAGAGAAUCGCUAUGAGAUGGACCCGCGUCUGAUUAGCCAGUUGGCAGGGUAAGAGCCUACCAAAGCGACGAGCAGUAGCCGAUCUGAGAGGAUGAACGGCCACAUUGGGACUGAGACACGGCCCAAACUCCUACGGGAGGCAGCAGUGGGGGAUAUUGCACAAUGGGGGGAACCCUGAUGCAGCGACGCCGCGUGAGUGAAGAAGUAUUUCGGUAUGUAAAGCUCUAUCAGCAGGGAAGAUAAUGACAGUACCUGAAUAAGAAGCCCCGGCUAACUACGUG
This 478-nucleotide ribosomal RNA is filed under the name uncultured bacterium. Its description in RNAcentral is "partial 16S ribosomal RNA". It matches the Rfam family "Bacterial small subunit ribosomal RNA", at positions 28 to 507 of the family's 1533-position model. The record is from RNAcentral.